Molecule: transfer RNA, 74 nt
Filed under: Operophtera brumata (winter moth)
Lineage: Eukaryota; Metazoa; Arthropoda; Insecta; Lepidoptera; Geometridae
Rfam family: tRNA
About the family: Transfer RNA (tRNA) molecules are approximately 80 nucleotides in length. Their secondary structure includes four short double-helical elements and three loops (D, anti-codon, and T loops). Further hydrogen bonds mediate the characteristic L-shaped molecular structure. tRNAs have two regions of fundamental functional importance: the anti-codon, which is responsible for specific mRNA codon recognition, and the 3' end, to which the tRNAs corresponding amino acid is attached (by aminoacyl-tRNA synthetases). tRNAs cope with the degeneracy of the genetic code in two manners: having more than one tRNA (with a specific anti-codon) for a particular amino acid; and 'wobble' base-pairing, i.e. permitting non-standard base-pairing at the 3rd anti-codon position.
Source: Rfam by way of RNAcentral
CGGCCAGUGGCAUAGUAGUCUAACGCAUCUUCGUAUCAAGGAGACGGUCGCAGGUUUGAAUCCCGCUUGGUUGG